GAUGAAUGGUGUGCACGGUGCAAGUCUGUGUUAUGUGUUGUUGCUGGACUGUGUUUUGCAGACUGGGCAGCAGCACUCACUCCACACCUGCAGCCAUAGAACAACUAGAGAUCAUAGUACUGGCCCUUGAUGUCGUUAUUGACAUGUUACCAUUGGUCAGCCUCCAAACUCUCCAACAUGC
This 181-nucleotide small nucleolar RNA is filed under the name Mola mola (ocean sunfish). Its description in RNAcentral is "Small nucleolar RNA SNORA23 (ENSMMOG00000019898.1)". It matches the Rfam family "Small nucleolar RNA SNORA23". From Rfam's summary of the family: The members of this family belong to the H/ACA class of snoRNAs which are thought to guide the sites of modification of uridines to pseudouridines. This family includes human snoRNA ACA23 (SNORA23) and mouse snoMBI-1. ACA23 is predicted to guide the pseudouridylation of residue U3737 and U4331 of 28S rRNA. The record is from Rfam by way of RNAcentral. Lineage: Eukaryota; Metazoa; Chordata; Actinopteri; Tetraodontiformes; Molidae.